GGGGAUUUAGCUCAGUGGUAGAGCGCUUGCCUAGCAAGCGCAAAUCCCUG
RNAcentral lists this transfer RNA (50 nucleotides) under Rattus norvegicus (Norway rat). Lineage: Eukaryota; Metazoa; Chordata; Mammalia; Rodentia; Muridae. The record is from Rfam by way of RNAcentral.